This 468-nucleotide ribosomal RNA is filed under the name uncultured bacterium. Its description in RNAcentral is "partial 16S ribosomal RNA". It matches the Rfam family "Bacterial small subunit ribosomal RNA", at positions 28 to 507 of the family's 1533-position model. The record is from RNAcentral.
GACGAACGCUGGCGGCGUGCUUAACACAUGCAAGUCGAACGGAAAGGCCCUGCUUUUGUGGGGUGCUCGAGUGGCGAACGGGUGAGUAACACGUGAGUAACCUGCCCUUGACUUUGGGAUAACUUCAGGAAACUGGGGCUAAUACCGGAUAGGAGCUCUUGCUGCACGGUGGGGGUUGGAAAGAGUCGGCGGUGGGGGAUGGACUCGCGGCUUAUCAGCUUGUUGGGGGGGUAGUGGCGUACGAAGGUUUUGACGGGUAGCCGGCAUGAGAGCGUGACCGGGCACAUUGGUACUGAGAUAGGGCCCAGAAUCCUAUCGGACGCAGCAGUGGGGAAUAUUGCACAGUGGGCGGAAGCCUGAUGCAGCAGCGCCGCGUGCGGGAUGCCGGCCUUCGGGUUGUAAACCGCUUUCGCCGGUGACGAAGCGUGAGUGACGGUAAUGAGUAAAGAAGCACCGGCUAACUACGUG